GACGUAGGAUGCGAGCGUUGUCCGGAAUCAUUGGGCGUAAAGGGAGCGUAGGCGGUUUCUUAAGUUUGGGCUUAAAGACCGGGGCUCAACCCCGGGAGUGGCCCGAAUACUGGGAGGCUGGAGGACGGCAGAGGAAAGUGGAAUUCCCAGUGUAGCGGUGAAAUGCGCAGAUAUCAGGAGGAACACCGGUGGCGAAGGCGGGUCUCUGGGCCGAUACUGACGCUGAGGAGCGAAAGCGUGGGGAGCGAACAGG
Molecule: ribosomal RNA, 253 nt
Filed under: uncultured bacterium
Lineage: Bacteria
Description: partial 16S ribosomal RNA
Rfam family: Bacterial small subunit ribosomal RNA
Source: RNAcentral